Molecule: long non-coding RNA, 705 nt
Filed under: Zostera marina
Lineage: Eukaryota; Viridiplantae; Streptophyta; Magnoliopsida; Alismatales; Zosteraceae
Description: long non-coding RNA (ZMAR_LNC004340)
Source: RNAcentral
UGAGGGUCAAAUCAAUUAAUACUGUUCCACGCCUCUGACAGCCAUAAUCACCGUGCAAGGUGGUAAAACCUGAUAAAAACACCCUUAACUUCUGUUUCUCUGAGACUCUGACUGUCCCACCUGCUUGCAUGCUGCCUGGUCGGUGCACGUAUUGAAGUCAUGCAGUUUAGUUUCAAGACCUAGUUGGCAUUGCUCAGCUAGUUAUUAAUAAUUUAUUUAAUGCAAUCAUAAAAUUGAGUAUAUUUUGAUAAAUAGAAAUAUUUAUACAUAAAUUACAUUAUAUAAAUAGAAAUAUCAUCGGUUAAAUUAUGAUAUAAAUUAAAUAAAAAAUUACCUACAUACAUUAGUAGAGCCAGGAUUUGUUAGCCUCCCGGCAUAAUCCUCAAAUAUCUGUGUAGGCAAAAAAAAAUGUUGAUAUAAAUAGUUCGGAUUAAAUUUUGGCAUAACCUGUUUAGAUUUAAAAAAAAAUGAACCUAAAAUUCAAUUGAAAUAUUAACAAUUCAAUAAAAAUCAUAAUUAAUAGUUAUAAACAAAUGAUAAAAAUUUAGAUCUUUAAACCCCAAAAUAUCAGAGCAAAUUUAAAUCGAUUGAAUAAUCUAGAGAUAGAGAUUUGAUUUAAAUUGGACGUCCAGCUUAGGAGCAACCAAAUGAACUGGUCUGGUGUUUGGUGAUCGCCUGUUGAUUUCUAAAGUGCUCAGAAGUAAG